Molecule: long non-coding RNA, 413 nt
Organism: Aquila chrysaetos chrysaetos
Lineage: Eukaryota; Metazoa; Chordata; Aves; Accipitriformes; Accipitridae
Exons: 2
Source: RefSeq, a predicted model, not a curated record
AAUGCUGAUCACAUCUUGCAGCUAUUACCAGGGCAGCAAAGAAAGCAGAAGUAUCAACUUUGAAUUCUGCCACAUUGUCCUUUCCAGCUUGCAGAUGAACUGAUAAUUUAACUGAUAUGAUGCCUAAGUGGGUGUCAGAGGAGGACAACGCUGUGGGGCUUUCCUUCAGUUCCUUGUCUCAGUUGCAUCUCUUCCUCCACUGAAGGGCAAUUCUCCCUGGCCUCUCCUCAGCAGCCCAGGAAGUACAGAAGAGAAGGCAUACCAAGUUCACGAUAAGAUAAGAAAGUAUACACUUCAACAUCUGGCAUAUUUGCAAGAAAGCAGUAUCAAUGGAAGUGUGGUACAAACUCCCAGACAUCACUUUCAUUAUGUGCUACAACCUUACCCAAAUUUGAAGGAGGAGUUCAGCAAGG